RNAcentral lists this ribosomal RNA (350 nucleotides) under Mantidactylus melanopleura. RNAcentral describes it as "partial 16S ribosomal RNA". It matches the Rfam family "Bacterial large subunit ribosomal RNA", at positions 2085 to 2597 of the family's 2925-position model. Lineage: Eukaryota; Metazoa; Chordata; Amphibia; Anura; Mantellidae. The record is from RNAcentral.
AGAAGACCCCAUGGAGCUUCAAACCCAACUACACCCCUAGNUCUUAUAGCCCCACAACCCCCCUAGGCGCCGUGUGCUUGGUUUUAGGUUGGGGCGACCGCGGAGUACAAUAAAACCUCCACAAUGAAUGGGAACACCCCCUUAUCUGAGGGCCNCACCCCCUAAGAAUUAGAACACUAACAUAAAAUGAUCCAUUACUUGAUCAAUGAACCAAGUUACCCUGGGGAUAACAGCGCAAUCCAUUUCAAGAGCCCCUAUCGACAAAUGGGUUUACNACCUCGAUGUUGGAUCAGGGNACCCCAGUGGUGCAGCAGCUACUAACGGUUCGUUUGUUCAACGAUUAAAACCCU